GGUCCAAUACAGCCGUUUUUAUCUCAAUAUCAAAUAAUUUAUUGGGUUGUGGGUUGGGAAACGCUGUCAGCAUGGCUGCUGGCCUGUAAAUAUAUCACUUAUUGCUUCAAGCCACACCGCACCCACCAAACAGAGAAAACAUACCUCAGUCAGUUCGAGAACAUUUUGGGGAAACGUGUCAUUCAGUACAAACUGUUUACACAACCAUGCAAAAGUUUAAUCUAACUGAACGCACCCACUCGGUUGGAGAAGAAACAUUAGUGGGUGUGGCGUUUGGCUGGAGUGAUGUGGAUGGGUAACCAGGCAACAAUACCUGAUGAAUGAGACUGAAAUAUGUAGCAAAACAAAAACCCAUUCCAAUAAAAAAAAUAUGUGUUCCUUCCAAACAGAUUCGUGUUGCACUACUGAAAUAUUUCAACCUAAAACAGGUACAAUCAGCAGUGAGUGAAAGUUCCAAACUGGCAUCAACGAUGAAGUCAAAAUGAUAUUUUGACAAUUCUGUUUCUUUUUUUUAUUUUAUAUGUUGUAUAUCUAUACUGUUUAUUCAUCUAGGCUUAGUUUACAUCUAAAUUAAACCCCAUACUAAUCAACUGAAAUUCUGACACUGAGAAAGUACGUGCAAUGUCCUACAUGUAUCAUUUAUUAGAAUUGUGGCCUUAUUUUUCUGUUGUAAUAUAGCCUAUAUAUUAGAUGUUAUGUAGAAUGGAAAAUUACAUCAUAGGAAUUAAUCAUUUGGAAAAUGAAUUGCAUAAUGUGUAACCUACACCUGUUUGUAUCUAUCGUAAGUGUCCAGAACAGUUUUUCAUACUGUAUGACCAAUGAAAUGUAUGUAAUGUCUGUAUUUUUCGUGGUGUAACAUUUUUUUAAUUGGUUCGGGUAAACUAUACUAGCUGUUUUCCAAAUAAUGUUUUUGUUAAUGAGGUGUGGUAAUCCCUUGUUUUGCAGUCCUGUUUAGUUCCUAUCUUCUCUGCGCCUCCCAUUCCUUGUCCGUGUCGUCCAAGGGAAAGCUGUUUAACACUGCCAUCUGGCGGUAGGUCCUGCACUCUGGCUCUGCACUGAAAUAUGAUGCAGACAAUCACAUUCAGGAAGUAACCUACUGCACAUAACACACAUGGGCUUGCAUCCUAAAAGUAACACUACUCCUUACAAAGUGCACUACUUUUGACCAGAGCCAUGGGAAGGGAAUAGGGUUCAAUUUGGGAAUCUACAAUGAUGGCCGUGUCCGAAAUCGGUCUUGCCUACUAGGCUACUGACUAAAUCUGCACGUGUACUAAUCAUACUACAUAGGACUUAGAACAUACUGUUUAGUAAACAUUUAUGCAGUAAACAACAAAUAUUAACAUAAACUACUAUACUCACUCACCCUUACUGAGAAUGCGUAAUCUAAUGCGUAAUUGCAUUGCUUCCUGACAUUAGUUCCUUCAUUAGUUAAUUUUGGUUCAGCACGUCCUCUUAUACCGCGUUCAAAACAACUCGGAAAUCUCUGACAACCGACUUCAGUGCAUUCAAGGAAAGACUGGAAACUAGAGGGAAAAAAAGAACGAGCUCCGACUGGGAAAGAUCUUUUUGAAUGGUCAUCCAACUCGGUAACUCAGGCCUCUUUCUAGAGCUUCAAACUGAAAAUCACAGACGUCAUGAUUUGACCUAGUUUUUUCCAAUGUUGUAUUGAAAGCAUCAUUACCUCAUCUGAUUAUCAGCUGCAAUAAAUAUUUUUUAAAUCCAUCUGUUAAACUAGAGAUAUGUUUUUUUUGUAUGGGCUGUGUCUCAAUCCACGGUAUCCGCCACUUUAAUGUCUAUGAUGCGCCAAUGUCGGCCUUCCGCAUUUGUGGUGGAAGGUAGCAGAGACAGCGGUGUUCGCCAGACCAAGAAACAUCCCGAAAAUGGAUCUUCUCACAAACGACUAGCAUUUGGGCUACACACUAAUAUGACCCAACAAGUGUCACGGGACUCAUCUGAUAGUAACCCAGUACAGAGCGGAAAAAUAAAUAGAUGUGAAUAAUGCA
Molecule: RNA transcript, 2003 nt
Organism: Oncorhynchus kisutch (coho salmon)
Lineage: Eukaryota; Metazoa; Chordata; Actinopteri; Salmoniformes; Salmonidae
Exons: 2
Source: RefSeq, a predicted model, not a curated record